AAGUCGUAACAAGGUUUCCGUAGGUGAACCUGCGGAAGGAUCAUUACCGUACUUUAUACUAACAAGUAUAUAAAAGCAAAACGAGGAGUUUACAAGUUGAACGUGAAAAAAAAUGUGUUUAACUUGAAAAAAAUUUCCAAGUUUUAGCAACCUUUCUACAGAGUCUCUUUGUGUAUAGAAUUUGUAGACGUGUUUGUACCAGUGUUGUCUUGCACGUUAAAUACCCCAAGUUUGAGAUUUGAAAAAUGUAAAAUAUCAUCUCUUACUUUAACGCUCACUCGCGUAAGCGGGGAGCAAUGCAUUAUUCAAAUGUGAAUAAUAAAAUAAAAACUUUAAAAAAAAGACAAAAAUCAACCUCGAGUGGUGGAUCACUCGGCUCGUGG
This 383-nucleotide unclassified non-coding RNA is filed under the name fungal sp. RNAcentral describes it as "partial internal transcribed spacer region". The stretch from base 1 to 46 matches the Rfam family "Eukaryotic small subunit ribosomal RNA", at positions 1786 to 1831 of the family's 1831-position model. Lineage: Eukaryota; Fungi. The record is from RNAcentral.